RNAcentral lists this ribosomal RNA (253 nucleotides) under uncultured bacterium. Its description in RNAcentral is "partial 16S ribosomal RNA". It matches the Rfam family "Bacterial small subunit ribosomal RNA", at positions 524 to 776 of the family's 1533-position model. The record is from RNAcentral.
UACAGAGGUCCCGAGCGUUGUUCGGAUUCACUGGGCGUAAAGGGUGCGUAGGUGGCAGGGUAAGUCGGAUGUGAAAGCUCGGAGCUCAACUCCGAAAUGGCAUUGGAAACUGCUGAUCUGGAGGAUCGGAGGGGGGACUGGAAUUCUUGGUGUAGCAGUGAAAUGCGUAGAUAUCAAGAGGAACACCAGUGGCGAAGGCGAGUCCCUGGACGAUACCUGACACUGAGGCACGAAAGCCAAGGGAGCAAACAGG